UGGCGGACGGGUGAGUAACGCGUGGAAAACCUGCCGUAUACUGGGGGAUAACACUUAGAAAUAGGUGCUAGUACCGCAUAAGCGCACAGCUUCGCAUGAAGCGGUGUGAAAAACUCUGGUGGUAUACGAUGGUUCCGCGUCUGAUUAGCUAGUUGGUGGGGUAAUGGCCUACCAAGGCAACGAUCAGUAGCCGGCCUGAGAGGGUGAACGGCCACAUUGGGACUGAGACACGGCCCAAACUCCUACGGAAGGCAGCAG
RNAcentral lists this ribosomal RNA (258 nucleotides) under uncultured bacterium. RNAcentral's name for it is "partial 16S ribosomal RNA". It matches the Rfam family "Bacterial small subunit ribosomal RNA", at positions 96 to 354 of the family's 1533-position model. The record is from RNAcentral.